This 252-nucleotide ribosomal RNA is filed under the name uncultured bacterium. RNAcentral's name for it is "partial 16S ribosomal RNA". It matches the Rfam family "Bacterial small subunit ribosomal RNA", at positions 524 to 776 of the family's 1533-position model. The record is from RNAcentral.
UACGUAGGUGGCAAGCGUUAUCCGGAUUUAUUGGGCGUAAAGAGAACGCAGGUGGUUUAUUAAGUCUGGUGUAAAAGGCAGUGGCUCAACCAUUGUAUGCAUUGGAAACUGGUAGACUUGAGUGCAGGAGAGGAGAGUGGAAUUCCAUGUGUAGCGGUGAAAUGCGUAGAUAUAUGGAGGAACACCGGUGGCGAAAGCGGCUCUCUGGCCUGUAACUGACACUGAGGCUCGAAAGCGUGGGGAGCAAACAGG